Felis catus (domestic cat) is the source of this 2277-nucleotide long non-coding RNA. RefSeq lists it as uncharacterized. The transcript has 4 exons. Lineage: Eukaryota; Metazoa; Chordata; Mammalia; Carnivora; Felidae. The record is from RefSeq and is a predicted model, not a curated record.
CUCACUGCUCUGCAGCUAGGUCCUUCCAAGGUGCCUGGCACACAAACAGCUUCUCAUGGAACAUUUCUGAAUGAAUUUCAGAGAGGUAAACACUUGAGUGGGAAACACAGACAACUGAUCUCAGCUUCCCUAAGGUCCUUUCCACUGGGGAGCCCGGCCUGACCUGCGGAACCGCUGGCUCUUCUUUGUAAAGACCACACUGGUCACUGAUAGUUGCUAGUUAUGUGUGGGCUAUUCGGUGAGCUCUGGGAAAUAGAGCAGAGACACUGGCACCAGAGAGGCUGAAGUUCAAAUCCCUUAUCUACGCCACUCGAUGGUCACGUGAUUGUAAACAAGUUACUUAACUUCCUUCGAUCAUCAUUUCCUAACCUGUAAAAUGGAGGUGACAGCUUCCUAGUUCAUAGUGUUGUUGGACAGAUUGAUAGAGAUAAUGUAUGUCUAAUGCUGAACCCAGACUCAGGGCCAGAGUAGACAUCCCAUCAAGGUUGCUUUCUCCCACCUUCUUGCUCCCCACCACCCUGCUGUCCAUGCACUUCCCCUGUGCUCACCUCUUUUUAUGUGGGACUCUUCAGCUACUUUCUCUAGGGCUGUGUAAGCCAUGUGGUGGCCCUGUGUUUUGUUAGCCCCAGGGCUACAAAUCAACAGCCUCAGUGAUCACACUUCCAGCCAGUGGCCUGAUGUCUUAGUUGGGUUCCCCCAGAACUGGCACCUGUGACAAGGAUUCCAGUGUAGGUGGUUUGUCUGGGAGAUGAUUCUAGAAGCCACAGUAGAGAAGGGAGACAGGGCGAGGAAUGACGUGUGAUCAUGCAGGUCACCACUGUGCCCAUCUGGAGCUUAACCCUCAGGGAACUCUAGAAGACAAUUAUUCUAUCCAAGGAGCAAGGGAAUUAAGGCAUACACCUGGCCCCAACAGUCUGUCUUUUCACAGGGGUGAGGGUGGCAUGGCAGUGACCCUCUGACACCUCCUAUGUGCCACAUUCAUGUGCAGGACUGAGAAUGUGUGGCACCAGAGAAGCCUCACGGGCACGGAGCUGCAGGUGCUGGCAUGGAAGGGGUGACAUGGAAAUAUGGGCAAGACACCAACAGCUUCUGCCUCAACUGGUGAACAGCUCCUAAAUUCAUGCCUUCCUGGUCACAGCUUCCACGUUUUCUUGACCAAAGAUCUGUCUGUCCAUUUCUGAUGGAGGGGAGUUGAAGUCUUUAACUAUGACAGUGGAUUCAUCUAUUUCUCCUUGCAGUUCUGUCAGUUUCUGCCUCACAUCGUUUGACUCUCUGUUGUCAGGAUGACCUUGGGCUUAUUUGGCUAAGAGAAUGCAGCAGACAAGACAACGUGCCAGUUCUAAGCCUAGGCCUCAUGAGGCCUUGAAUCCUUCUCCUUUUCUCUCUUGGGUCCUUAUCCGCCACCACGUGAACAAGCUGAGGCCAACCUGUUGGUUGGAGAAAGAGAGACCACACUGAAGAGUGUUGAGCUGUCUUCUGAGGGCAUCCUGUACCAACCAGACCCAGCUACCCCAGCACAAACUGACAACGACUGAGGCCAGAGGAAAUCAAAACUGCCUACCUGAGUCCAGACCACCUGCCAGUCUGAAGAACUGUGAGCCAAGUCAUUGUUUGAACAGCGAAAGUUAUCAGAUACACUUGUGCAGAAGCCAUACUAUGGGUGGCCUCGACCUGCUUCUGAACUGCUGGAAGUCCACCAGGAACUUGCCUUUUGCUCUCUGCAUGGCUCUGUGCUUCUAUUCCAUUUUUGAUCCAAGGAGAAGUACAGAAGAGUACAUAAAAUAUAUGUACAAAUUUUAAAAGAAUACUAAAAUGAGUGCUCAUUGUGACCACCACUAGCUGUGUCUUUUACAUUUUUGUCUUUGUAUUUUUGUUCUCUUGUUGUCAUGUGCUUGGAGCAGUGGGGCUUCCAGCAAUACCAUCUGAUAGAAUGCACCUGUCCAUUCUAACUGCAGGUGGUGCUCUAGAGACCUCUGUGAGUUUCAGUGCCAAACCCCUGAGUCCUAGGAUACCCUGAUCUCUUGCUGGUAGUGGCUUUGUUAGCAGCCCCAGUGCUUUAUAAUUAUUUAGCUCCAGUGUCUCCCUAAUAAAUAUAUAUAUUGAAAACUAAAUAUGCAUAAUUGUAAACUUGAAAUGGAUAAGUGUUUAAUUAUCUUUAAAAAUUAACAUUGCCAUUACUUGUUCAGCAAUAAUUAUACACCUUUUACAUGCAGCAAUUAAAAAAUGUUUUAAUGUUUAUUUAUUUUUGAGAGGGAGAGAGACAGAGACAGAGAGAGU